ACGUGGAGCCGGAAGCCCACUCUUGCAACUACAACAGUCUUGGUAAACCUUGGGUGGACUGGGGAGAACUGAGGAGGGGAAGCGCUUUUUUGUUGCUUCUCUGUGUUUUCUAUUUUAUUUUAUUUAUUUUAUUUUUAGAUUUUCAGUUCUUAUUUCACCCAGGGAAGGAGACCUGGGUAUCCACCCCAUGUCCUCCAGAGAACUUCCCUGGCCCCGCUCGGAGUCUUCCUGGGACGCCACAGGCUCGGAGAGCGCUCCGCAGGUUUCUCCCCCGGCGCCUCCAAAUCUUUCGAUUCCUACUCGAAUUACUCCGUCAGCUGCUGGAAGAGGGGCAAGGGGUAUGGCGAGACGCGUUGGUACAUGGGGCACUGGGGGGAAGGGAAAGCCUCCCUCCUUCUCCUAGUAAUUCGAGAAUGUUGCGUCCGCCUCCUUUCUUUUGCUGGCGCUAGGGGCUCGGACCAGCACCUGCCAGGCAUAGGUGUGGCCACUGGGGCGAAACCUGGCAGGCUCUGGAAACAGCGUUUUACUGACAGGAAAGAGAAACUGUUCUUUGUAUUCAUCACCCACCGCAGACUUCCUCACGCCCGGGUCUUAGGCGGGGCUGUCAGAUUUCAGUGUGUUUCUCUUAAUUCUAGUACUAAAUUUGUACUGGGCGCUGGCGAAGGGCCUGGCUCCGCCACGCGCGGCCCUCUCGAACUGCCCGUGGGUACGGCGCGCGCUGCUGCCCUGUGUGGCCUGUGCGGGGAACCCGAGGGCCGAAGUGGGCCCCGCCGCAGCACAGGGGGACAAGAGAACCAGGAGCGGGCUGCCUGGGGGCAGAUUCGAACCCGUGCUCCCAGCGGAUAGAAGUAGCACUUGGGGACUCCUAAAAUAUUCAGCCCAAUCCUGAUUCCAGCUGCCCUCUCUAGGCACCUUUCCUCUACCCUUCUUCCAGUUUACAAUUCUGGUGAGUAGAUGUUUCUCUAUCUCUUCUCUUCCAACUCCUGCGCCCAGAGCCAGGAGGACUUCUGGAGCCCGCCCAGCAAGACCCUCUCUCUCCCAUCUUCUGCUCAAGGGCUCGAGGUCUCAGUGGACAGAGCUGAAGAAAAGCCGUCUAUGGAGCCUGCGCCAGGCGCAGACUGGGUCGUCGCAGUCUGGGUCGUCGCAGUCUGGGCCGGGGCGCUGGAAGUCUUACUCACUUCUCAAGAACCCGCAAGGGAUCAGGCCUGACCCUUUGCAAGUGACAGAAUCCAAAGCUUUGAGCUCAUGGGAAAGUGGCUGGAAAGAAGGUCACUGUAGGGCCGCACAGGUCUCUGGCGAGGCUACCCAAGAACAUUUAAAUCCCUGCCCAGAGAAGAAGAGGCUCCAGCUGUCCUGCACCUUCCUGGGAACUGGCAGUCCCUCCGCGCAGGGGUUCUGCAGCGACCGGCAGCGCGAGGAGACAAGGAUGGUGGCCAGUUAACAGAAAAUCAAGGCAGCGGGAAAGGGAGGAAUGGCCUACAGGGGCCAUGCAGGGGCUGCAUGGAGGAAUUGGUCAGUACACACAGAAGUGGAUGGCACUGGGCCAGGCACAGUGGCUCACACCUGUAAUCCCAGCACUUUGGGAAGCUGAGGUGGGUGGAUCGCCUGAGCCCAGGAGUUCGAGACCAGUCAAGACAACAUGACAAAACUCCACGUCUACUAAAAAUACAAAAACUAGCUGGGCAUGGUGGCAUGUGCCUGUAAUCCCAGCUACUUGGGAGGCUGAGGCAGGAGAAUCGCUUGAGGUGGAGGUUGCAGUGAGCCAAGAUAGUGCCCCUACACUCCAGCCUGGGUGACAGAGUGAGACUUUGUCUCAAAUAAAUAAAUAAAUAAGAAGUGGACUGCUGUGGUGUGAGAAUGCACCUGACAGACCUCCAAUUAUGGAGAGCUUACACAGCCAAGGGCCCCAACUGCUGCUCUCUGAAACUCAUCCUGCUUUUGUGCUGAGGCCACACUUCCCACAGGCUGCUCCAGCCAGUGACCAAGCACAGCAUGGACACUAAGACAGGCCCAUUCUGGGAGACGUGGGACUCCUCUGAUGGCCAACUUUGACUUGGGGACUCCCUGAUGGCCUUGCCAAACCUUUUUGAUAAAGCACUUUGGUCUAGGAAGCUUCUACCCGACCUUCCUUCCUCUCUCCUUCACUCAGGGUCAGACUUAUAAUGUGAUCUGACAGUUCCCCCAGCAUUUCCUGGCUCUUUCUCCUUUCCUUUCACAGGUGUUUCUCCUGAGAAAAUUCUUGCAUGUUUAAACCCAAUUUGAGGGAUUAUUGGGAAAAUUAUUGGGACCACUAUUGGAACAGUUGACAAACUGUCACUGGGGGUGUGUAGAUUAAAUGUCAGUAUCGUAUAAAUCCAUGUUAAUUUCCUGGUAGUGAUGACAGCACUGUGAUUAUAUAGGAGUGUGUCCUUGGUGUUUGGGAAUUACAUGGUGAAAUGUUUAGGAUAAUGGGGCAACUUACUUUCAAACGGUUCCCCAAAAAUUCUAGAUAGAUAGAUAGAUAGAUAGACAGACAGGCAGGCAGAGUGAGAAAGAAAGUGAGAAUGGUAAAACAAAUAUAUAUAAUGUUUUGUGGGGAGAAUGAAUAGGAGUUUUUUGUAGUAUUCUUACGACUUUUCCAUAAGUUUGAAAUUAUCAAAAAUAAAAAAUGUUUAAAAC
Molecule: long non-coding RNA, 2658 nt
Organism: Homo sapiens (human)
Lineage: Eukaryota; Metazoa; Chordata; Mammalia; Primates; Hominidae
Source: Ensembl